Molecule: ribosomal RNA, 253 nt
Filed under: uncultured bacterium
Lineage: Bacteria
Description: partial 16S ribosomal RNA
Rfam family: Bacterial small subunit ribosomal RNA
Source: RNAcentral
UACGUAGGGGGCUAGCGUUGUCCGGAAUCAUUGGGCGUAAAGCGCGUGUAGGCGGUUCGGUAAGUCCGCUGUGAAAGUCGGGGGCUCAACCCUCGAAAGCCGGUGGAUACUGUCGGACUAGAGUGCGGAAGAGGCGAGUGGAAUUCCUGGUGUAGCGGUGAAAUGCGCAGAUAUCAGGAGGAACACCAAUUGCGAAGGCAGCUCGCUGGGACGUUACUGACGCUGAGACGCGAAAGCGUGGGGAGCGAACAGG